CUCGCCCGGGGACUACGAGCAUGAGCUUAAAACCCAAAGGACUUGGCGGUGCUUUAAACCCACCUAGAGGAGCCUGUUCUAUAACCGAUAACCCCCGUUAAACCUCACCUUCUCUUGUUAUUUCCGCCUAUAUACCGCCGUCGUCAGCUUACCCUGUGAAGGUUAUUUAGUAAGCAAAACUGAUUUUAUCCAAAACGCCAGGUCAAGGUGUAGCAAAUGAGAAGGGAAGAAAUGGGCUACAUUUUUUAAUCCAGAAAAUACGGAAACUGCCAUGAAACAGCAUAUUUGAAGGAGGAUUUAGCAGUAAGUAGAGAACAGCGUGUUCC
This 326-nucleotide ribosomal RNA is filed under the name Aphyosemion zygaima. RNAcentral describes it as "partial 12S ribosomal RNA". It matches the Rfam family "Bacterial small subunit ribosomal RNA", at positions 868 to 1360 of the family's 1533-position model. Lineage: Eukaryota; Metazoa; Chordata; Actinopteri; Cyprinodontiformes; Nothobranchiidae. The record is from RNAcentral.